Molecule: non-coding RNA, 681 nt
Organism: Pelobates cultripes (western spadefoot toad)
Lineage: Eukaryota; Metazoa; Chordata; Amphibia; Anura; Pelobatidae
Source: the annotation of a GenBank genome assembly
AUCAUAGAUAAAAUGCAAAUUUUUAAUACUUUGUAGAGAACCCUUUACAGGUAAUAACUGCUUGAAGUCCGAAACAUAUGGACAUCAUUAAACGCUGGGUUUCGUCCCGUGCUAUGCUUUGCCAGGCCUUCAUUGCAGCAGUCUUCACUUGUUUGUUUGUGGGUCUUUCUGCCGUAAGUUGUCUUCAGCAAGUGAAAUGCAUGGUCGAUCAGAUUGAGAUCAGGUGAUUGAUGCAGGCAUAUUCCACUUCUUUAUGUUAAAACAAACUCCUGGAUUGCUUGCACAGUAAGAUUUGGGUCAUUGUCCAUCUGUAAAGUGAAGCGCCGUCUAAUCAACUUUACUGAAUUAAGCUGAAUCUGAGCAGGCAACAUAUAUGUAUUUAGAUAUACAAAAGAUCCCGAGAUACGACUGUAUAAAAUCUAAAUUAGGAACUGGUGGGUAUAAGUUGUAUAAAAUUUAUUAUAAAAAAGGGGCCAUAUACAUUAGCCAUCCAAGAUAAAACAAAACAUCCUACGCGUUUCGUUCCUGUGGUUAGGAACUUCCUCAGGGACCAGAUUCAAAUGAUACAGCAGUAAAAACAAUCAAUACAGAAAAAAAAAAAAAAAAAAUCAAACAAUAUCCCCCCAUGAGUCUCUCUAAAUAGGGCUAAGCCCUCAGUUCAUUGGUGGAUCCUGUGGUCCU